UGACGGUAUCAUAUGAAUAAGCACCGGCUAACUCCGUGCCAGCAGCCGCGGUAAUACGGGGGGUGCAAGCGUUACUCGGAAUCACUGGGCGUAAAGAGCAUGUAGGCGGGUGAAUAAGUUGGAAGUGAAAUCCUAUAGCUUAACUAUAGAACUGCUUCCAAAACUGUUCACCUAGAGUAUGGGAGAGGUAGAUGGAAUUUCUGGUGUAGGGGGUAAAAUCCGUAGAGAUCAGAAGGAAUACCGAUUGCGAAGGCGAUCUACUGGAACAUUACUGACGCUCAGAUGCGAAAGCGUGGGGAGCAAACAGGAUUAGAUACCCUGGUAGUCCACGCCCUAAACGAUGUACACUAGUUGUUGCUAUACUAGAUAUGGCAGUAAUGCAGUUAACACUUUAAGUGUACCGCCUGGGGGAGUACGGUCGCAAGAUUAAAACUCAAAGGAAUAGACGGGGACCCGCACAAGCGGUGGAGCAUGGUGGUUUAAUUCGACGAUACGCGAAAAACCUUACCUGGCCUUGACAUAGUAGGAAUCUUUAAAAGAUUAGAGAGUGCUAGCUUGCUAGAACCUACAUACAGGUGCUGCACGGCUGUCGUCAGC
This 597-nucleotide ribosomal RNA is filed under the name uncultured bacterium. RNAcentral's name for it is "bacterial SSU rRNA". It matches the Rfam family "Bacterial small subunit ribosomal RNA", at positions 470 to 1059 of the family's 1533-position model. The record is from RNAcentral.